GACGAACGCUGGCGGCGUGCUUAACACAUGCAAGUCGAACGGAAAGGCCCUGCUUUUGUGGGGUGCUCGAGUGGCGAACGGGUGAGUAACACGUGAGUAACCUGCCCUUGACUUUGGGAUAACUUCAGGAAACUGGGGCUAAUACCGGAUAGGAGCUCCUGCUGCAUGGUGGGGGUUGGAAAGUUUCGGCGGUUGGGGAUGGACUCGCGGCUUAUCAGCUUGUUGGUGGGGUAGUGGCUUACCAAGGCUUUGACGGGUAGCCGGCCUGAGAGGGUGACCGGCCACCUUGGGGCCUGGGUACCGCCCAGACCUCCACGGGAGGGAGCAGGGGGGAAUAUUGCCAAAUGGGCGGAAGGCUUAUUCAGGCACCCCGGCGGCGGGAUGACGGCCUUUGGGGUUGAAACCGCUUUUGCCUGGGACGAAGCGGGGGGGAAGGUAAUGGGUAAAGAAGCCACGGCUUACUACCUG
This 468-nucleotide ribosomal RNA is filed under the name uncultured bacterium. Its description in RNAcentral is "partial 16S ribosomal RNA". It matches the Rfam family "Bacterial small subunit ribosomal RNA", at positions 28 to 507 of the family's 1533-position model. The record is from RNAcentral.